Molecule: ribosomal RNA, 253 nt
Filed under: uncultured bacterium
Lineage: Bacteria
Description: partial 16S ribosomal RNA
Rfam family: Bacterial small subunit ribosomal RNA
Source: RNAcentral
GACAGAGGGGGCAAGCGUUGCUCGGAAUUACUGGGCGUAAAGGGCGCGUAGGCGGGAUGGCAAGUCGGUCGUGAAAUCCCUCGGCUCAACUGGGGAUCGUCGAUCGAUACUGCCGUUCUUGAGGAUUGCAGAGGAGACUGGAAUUCCCGGUGUAGCGGUGAAAUGUGUAGAGAUCGGGAGGAACACCGGUGGCGAAGGCGGGUCUCUGGGCAAUUCCUGACGCUGAGGCGCGAAAGCGUGGGGAGCAAACGGG